Molecule: ribosomal RNA, 254 nt
Filed under: uncultured bacterium
Lineage: Bacteria
Description: partial 16S ribosomal RNA
Rfam family: Bacterial small subunit ribosomal RNA
Source: RNAcentral
UACGGGGGGAGCAAGCGUUGUUCGGAUUUACUGGGCGUAAAGGGCGCGUAGGCGGUCAGCACAAGUCAAUUGUGAAAUCUCCGAGCUUAACUCGGAAAGGUCAACUGAAACUGUGCGACUAGAGUGCAGAAGGGGCAACUGGAAUUCUUGGUGUAGCGGUGAAAUGCGUAGAUAUCAAGAGGAACACCUGCGGCGAAGGCGGGUUGCUGGGCUGACACUGACGCUGAAGCGCGAAAGCCAGGGGAGCGAACGGG